GGCCUCGUAGCUUAGUUGGCUAGAGCGUUGGCUGUAUUAAAGGUUUCUCCUCGCUGGCGUAGGUUCAAAUCCCACCGAGGCCA
RNAcentral lists this transfer RNA (83 nucleotides) under Schistocephalus solidus. It matches the Rfam family "tRNA". Rfam says of the family: Transfer RNA (tRNA) molecules are approximately 80 nucleotides in length. Their secondary structure includes four short double-helical elements and three loops (D, anti-codon, and T loops). Further hydrogen bonds mediate the characteristic L-shaped molecular structure. tRNAs have two regions of fundamental functional importance: the anti-codon, which is responsible for specific mRNA codon recognition, and the 3' end, to which the tRNAs corresponding amino acid is attached (by aminoacyl-tRNA synthetases). tRNAs cope with the degeneracy of the genetic code in two manners: having more than one tRNA (with a specific anti-codon) for a particular amino acid; and 'wobble' base-pairing, i.e. permitting non-standard base-pairing at the 3rd anti-codon position. The record is from Rfam by way of RNAcentral. Lineage: Eukaryota; Metazoa; Platyhelminthes; Cestoda; Diphyllobothriidea; Diphyllobothriidae.